Molecule: long non-coding RNA, 326 nt
Filed under: Triticum aestivum (bread wheat)
Lineage: Eukaryota; Viridiplantae; Streptophyta; Magnoliopsida; Poales; Poaceae
Description: long non-coding RNA (TAES_LNC005969)
Source: RNAcentral
AACCCCAACCUGGUGCACGCGCAGAGCAUCCUCGCCAUCUGGGCGGUGCAGGUGGUGCUCAUGGGCUUCAUCGAGGGCUACCGUGUUGGUGGCGGGCCCCUCGGCGAGGGCCUCGAUAUCAUCUACCCAGGCGGCGCCUUCGACCCACUUGGCCUCGCCGACGACCCUGACACCGCCGCCGAGCUCAAGGUGAAGGAGCUCAAGAACGGCCGCCUCGCCAUGUUCUCCAUGUUCGGCUUCUUCGUGCAGGCCAUCGUCACCGGGAAGGGGCCAGUUGAGAACCUCUUCGACCACGUCGCCGACCCGGUCAACAACAACGCCUGGGC